This 284-nucleotide ribosomal RNA is filed under the name uncultured Hyphomicrobiales bacterium. Its description in RNAcentral is "uncultured Rhizobiales bacterium partial 16S ribosomal RNA". It matches the Rfam family "Bacterial small subunit ribosomal RNA", at positions 503 to 786 of the family's 1533-position model. The record is from RNAcentral. Lineage: Bacteria; Pseudomonadati; Pseudomonadota; Alphaproteobacteria; Hyphomicrobiales.
UUGUGCCAGCCGCCGCGGUAAUACGAAGGGGGCUAGCGUUGCUCGGAAUCACUGGGCGUAAAGGGCGCGUAGGCGGCCAUUUAAGUCGGGGGUGAAAGCCUGUGGCUCAACCACAGAAUUGCCUUCGAUACUGGGUGGCUUGAGUCCGGAAGAGGUUGGUGGAACUGCGAGUGUAGAGGUGAAAUUCGUAGAUAUUCGCAAGAACACCGGUGGCGAAGGCGGCCAACUGGUCCGGAACUGACGCUGAGGCGCGAAAGCGUGGGGAGCAAACAGGAUUAGAUACC